UACGGAGGGUGCGAGCGUUGUCCGGAAUCACUGGGCGUAAAGGGCGCGUAGGUGGCUUAGCAAGCGUGUGGUGAAAGCCCGGGGCUUAACCCCGGGUCUGCCAUGCGAACUACUAUGGCUAGAGUACUGUAGAGGCAGGUUGAAUUCCGGGUGUAGCGGUGGAAUGCGUAGAGAUCGGGAAGAACAUCGGUGGCGAAGGCGGUCUGCUGGGCCGUUGCUGACGCUGAGGCGCGACAGCGUGGGGAGCAAACAGG
Molecule: ribosomal RNA, 254 nt
Filed under: uncultured bacterium
Lineage: Bacteria
Description: partial 16S ribosomal RNA
Rfam family: Bacterial small subunit ribosomal RNA
Source: RNAcentral